GACUGCUCCAGUGGCCUAAUGAUUAGAGCAUCUGCCUUGGAUGCAGGAAGUCAAGGGUUUGAUCCCUGGCUGAGUCU
This is a non-coding RNA of Potamilus streckersoni, 77 nucleotides long. The record is from the annotation of a GenBank genome assembly. NCBI's taxonomy places the organism in Eukaryota, Metazoa, Mollusca, Bivalvia, Unionida, Unionidae.